UGGACAUCCUCACAUUUUGCAUGAUGACAUCAAACAUCAGCUAAAACACCAUAGGAAAAGCAUUGGUCCUAAUGAGCGUGCGGUGCUUGCUGCGCAUGCAAAUUAGGAGGAGAAGCAAAUGUGGAGACUGACCCAGCGCUGAGGGACAUCGACGCUGGAUUCAGGUAAGUGAUAGAAGGGUUUUUAACCCUUGUUGCAUCCCAAACCACUGGGACACAUAUAUGUCUUAAUUUUGGGACAUGUUGAGGUGGUGAUUGUUGAUAGUGAG
Non-coding RNA from Pelobates cultripes (western spadefoot toad), 268 nucleotides. The record is from the annotation of a GenBank genome assembly. NCBI's taxonomy places the organism in Eukaryota, Metazoa, Chordata, Amphibia, Anura, Pelobatidae.